AGUUCACUUCUUCUGUCCUCAUCGUCAAGAUAAUAAACAACCUUGUAUUUAUGUAACUACUGCUUUAUUGACCUCCUCACUCAGUUUAAUAGUAUUCGAAUUGGGGANNNNUGGGGAAAUGUUUGAAUCUCCCUCGAAUGGACUUCCUCCAAUCGGGUAAUUCUUGGGUCAGUGAAGAUACUGAAACUCUGAAAGAGAACGACUUGGAAAGAAGGAAGCGAGGAAGAGGUGUAAGUAGCUAUUACGACUCCUGCAGUUCAAUCUAAACAGAUAACAACUGUAACGGCUUGAAAGUAGUGGCUGGUGAAUGGAAACGUCGGGAAUAGAGAGGGAGAACGCCAAAGGUGACCGACAAUGAUGG
This 361-nucleotide unclassified non-coding RNA is filed under the name Hevea brasiliensis (rubber tree). Lineage: Eukaryota; Viridiplantae; Streptophyta; Magnoliopsida; Malpighiales; Euphorbiaceae. The record is from RNAcentral.